Molecule: ribosomal RNA, 253 nt
Filed under: uncultured bacterium
Lineage: Bacteria
Description: partial 16S ribosomal RNA
Rfam family: Bacterial small subunit ribosomal RNA
Source: RNAcentral
UACGUAGGGGGCAAGCGUUGUCCGGAUUUAUUGGGCGUAAAGAGCGUGUAGGCGGCCAGGUAGGUCCGCUGUGAAAACUCGAGGCUCAACCUCGAGAUGUCGGCGGAAACCAUCUGGCUAGAGUCCGGAAGAGGAGAGUGGAAUUCCUGGUGUAGCGGUGAAAUGCGCAGAUAUCAGGAGGAACACCUGCGGUGUAGACGGCUUACUGGACCAUAACUGACGCUGAGGCACGAAAGCGUGGGUAGCAAACAGG